This 1176-nucleotide ribosomal RNA is filed under the name Selenopemphix undulata. RNAcentral describes it as "LSU rRNA". It matches the Rfam family "Eukaryotic large subunit ribosomal RNA", at positions 79 to 1261 of the family's 3401-position model. The record is from RNAcentral. Lineage: Eukaryota; Dinophyceae; Peridiniales; Protoperidiniaceae.
CACAGUAGUGGCGAAUGCACAGGGGCAAACUCAGAUUGGAAAGUGGGGCACAUGGCCCCGAAUUGUAGUCUUGUGAUGCGCUACUGGUGGAGAGGCAGCUACAUACUCUUGGAAAAGUGCAUCAAUGAGGGUGACAACCCUGUGUGCAAGCUGCAGCACUCCAGCACACAGUGCGCACUUUGCGAGUCGUGUACCUCGGCACUGGUGCAUGAAGUGGUGGUAAUGUUCAUCCAAAGUUGAAGGGGUGUUUGAGACCAACAGCAAACAAGUACCCUAAGGGAAAGGUGAAACAGGACUUUGAAAAGAGAGAUAAAUACGCUUGAACUUGCUGAAUUUGAAGUGAGGGGAGACAGUGUAAUGUGGUAGGAUUUCUGUGUGUCAAUGUGUUUGCCUGCUGCUUUGCGCGCAAGUGCAGCGGGAGGUCAUGAACAGGAUGCACGCAGUGUAUCUAGCCCCAUCAAUCAAUCUCAGUAUGUUGCUCGAGGGGAGAAGCAGAGACCUGGUUGACCAUCCCUGGGUGGAAGAAGAUCUUCGCAUUGUUCGUGUAUGUGCAUCUUAGUGACUACAUGGUUCCAUUUGGCCCGUCUUGAAACACGGAUCAAGGAGUCUAAUAUACAUGCAAGUUCAUGGGUGGCAGACUUGUGUGCACAAUGAAAAUGCUGGCUGGUAGUGUUUGCACCAGCAACCGAUUGUUUGUCUACGGAAUGCCUGUGUAUGAGUAUGUCGGUUAGGACCCGAAAGAUGGUGAACUAUGCCUGUGAAAGACAAAUUUAGGGGAAACUCUGAUGGAGGCCUGUAGCGAUACUAACGUGCAAAUUGUUCGUUAUACAUGGGCAUAUGGGGUGAAAGACUAAUCGAACCAUCUAGUAGCUGGUUCCCUCCGAAGUUUCCCUCAGGAUAGUUGGAGCUGAAUAGUUUUACUAGGUAAAGCAAAUGAUUUGAGGCAUUGGGGGCCUGUUGCCCUUGACCUAUUCUCAAACUCUAAAUAGGUAAGACCCAGCGGUUACUUGUGUGAGCAACUGGGGCGAUUGACAUCUCCAAGUGGGCCAUUCUUGGUAAGCAGAACUGGCGAUGAGAGAUGAACCUAAGGUUAGGCUAAGGCGCCCCAGUGCAUGCUCAUCAGAUACCAUAAAGGGUGUUGGUUCAUCUUGACAGCAGGACGGUGGUCAUGGAAGU